AGCGAACGCUGGCGGCAGGCUUAACACAUGCAAGUCGAACGGGCGUAGCAAUACGUCAGUGGCAGACGGGUGAGUAACGCGUGGGAACGUACCUUUUGGUUCGGAACAACUGAGGGAAACUUCAGCUAAUACCGGAUAAGCCCUUACGGGGAAAGAUUUAUCGCCGAAAGAUGGGCCCGCGUCGGAUUAGCUAGUUGGUGAGGUAAUGGCUCACCAAGGCGACGAUCCGUAGCUGGUUUGAGAGGACGACCAGCCACACUGGGACUGAGACACGGCCCAGACUCCUACGGGAGGCUG
RNAcentral lists this ribosomal RNA (297 nucleotides) under uncultured Pseudomonadota bacterium. Its description in RNAcentral is "uncultured proteobacterium partial 16S ribosomal RNA". It matches the Rfam family "Bacterial small subunit ribosomal RNA", at positions 29 to 351 of the family's 1533-position model. The record is from RNAcentral. Lineage: Bacteria; Pseudomonadati; Pseudomonadota.